This 253-nucleotide ribosomal RNA is filed under the name uncultured bacterium. Its description in RNAcentral is "partial 16S ribosomal RNA". It matches the Rfam family "Bacterial small subunit ribosomal RNA", at positions 524 to 776 of the family's 1533-position model. The record is from RNAcentral.
UACAGAGGGUGCAAGCGUUGCUCGGAAUUAUUGGGCGUAAAGAGGACGUAGGUGGUCUGCUUUGUCUGGGGUGAAAGCCUUGAGCUUAACUCAAGAAGGGCCUCAGAAACGGUCAGACUGGAGUCUUAAAGAGGGUCGUGGAAUUCCUGGUGUAGCGGUGAAAUGCGCAGAUAUCUGGAGGAACACCGGUGGCGAAGGCGGCAUCCUGGACCGGCAUUGACGCUGAGGAGCGAAAGCCAGGGGAGCAAACGGG